CUGGGCACUACUGUGUCUUGGUACCACCCGUUACUGCGGAUCUUCCAGGUGAAUGACAGUCAUGGAAUUUCAUAUGAGCCUGUACCCCUUGGCAGAAUUAGUUUAGCAGAGCAAAGCCAUUGCCUCAAAAAGUCCUGAAGGCAAGACAGGAGGGAGUGAUUUCCAAAAAGGUGAGAAAGAAGCCAAGAACACUGGGUACCCUCUGAGAGAGGCAGUCCAGCGGUCUGAGACUGGGAACCUUGUGGCCCCAGAGAUCCCUUCAGAGGGGAGAGGGAAGAGGGGACUGUUAAAGUGGAACAAAAUGCAAAGGUCUGGGCCGCAUGGGUACGUGCACUCGACCAAACUCAGCAACUGUGCACGUGAGGCUGGGGCAGCCCCUUACGUGUAAAUUCUCCCUCAAAAGAAAGAAACCAACAUUGAGCUGGUCAGUGAUAUUCAUGCUAAAAGAUUGAGGAGAGUAUUAUGAUGCCUGCAAUUUCCAUCAAAAUAUAAAAAUUAAGAUGGACUGAUAGAUGGAUGGCUAUAUGGAUGGCUAUACAUACAAUAUAGCAGAUAGAAUAAAGGCGAGUGGUUAGAAUCCAGGUGGGUAGAUGGAUGUUCACUGUAACGUGUUCAUUUUUGUUAUGUGUUUGAGAAAUGUUCUUACCAUAACAUUGGGGGAAAAUGAGGCAAAGACAAAGCGGAAAAGGAGAAUGGGGGAGCCCUGAAUUUCAGCCCCACUUUGCCACUUUCUCCAGGGCUGGCUCAGGGCAGUGGGGGCGGAGCCACGCCCUGGCUCUGC
Molecule: long non-coding RNA, 781 nt
Organism: Myotis davidii
Lineage: Eukaryota; Metazoa; Chordata; Mammalia; Chiroptera; Vespertilionidae
Exons: 3
Source: RefSeq, a predicted model, not a curated record